UUCUCAGGUUGACCUCGGAUCAGGUAGGGAUACCCGCUGAACUUAAGCAUAUCAAUAAGCGGAGGA
Molecule: ribosomal RNA, 66 nt
Filed under: Penicillium brefeldianum
Lineage: Eukaryota; Fungi; Ascomycota; Eurotiomycetes; Eurotiales; Aspergillaceae
Description: partial 28S ribosomal RNA
Rfam family: Eukaryotic large subunit ribosomal RNA (bases 10-66)
Source: RNAcentral